GUAAGGAAUAUUGGACAAUGGGCGGAAGCCUGAUCCAGCCAUCCCGCGUGCAGGAUGAAGGCCCUAGUGGUUGUAAACUGCUUUUAUUUGGGAAGAAAUCUGUCUAUUUAUAGGCAGUUGACGGUACCUUAUGAAUAAGCACCGGCUAACUCCGUGCCAGCAGCCGCGGUAAUACGGAGGGUGCAAGCGUUAUCCGGAAUCACUGGGUUUAAAGGGUGCGUAGGCGGCCUAUCAAGUCAGGGGUGAAAUGUCAGCGCUUAACGUUGAAAUUGCCUUUGAUACUGUUGGGCUUGAAACAGGUUGAGGUUGGCAGAAUGUGGCAUGUAGCGGUGAAAUGCAUAGAUAUGCCAUAGAAUACCGAUUGCGUAGGCAGCUGGCUGGACCUGGAUUGACGCUGAGGCACGAAAGCGUGGGGAGCAAACAGGAUUAGAAACCCCAGUAGUCC
RNAcentral lists this ribosomal RNA (445 nucleotides) under uncultured bacterium. Its description in RNAcentral is "bacterial SSU rRNA". It matches the Rfam family "Bacterial small subunit ribosomal RNA", at positions 354 to 796 of the family's 1533-position model. The record is from RNAcentral.